GCUGGCGGCAGGCCUAACACAUGCAAGUCGAACGCUCGUAGCAAUACGGGAGUGGCAGACGGGUGAGUAACGCGUGGGAACGUACCUUUCGGUUCGGAAUAACCCGGGGAAACUCGGGCUAAUACCGGAUACGUCCGCAAGGAGAAAGAUUUAUCGCCGAAAGAUCGGCCCGCGUCGGAUUAGCUAGUUGGUGAGGUAACGGCCCACCAAGGCGACGAUCCGUAGCUGGUCUGAGAGGAUGAUCAGCCACACUGGGACUGAGACACGGCCCAGACUCCUACGGGAGGCAGCAGUGGGGAAUAUUGGACAAUGGGCGAAAGCCUGAUCCAGCCAUGCCGCGUGAGUGAAGAAGGCCUUAGGGUUGUAAAGCUCUUUCAGCGGGGAAGAUAAUGACGGUACCCGCAGAAGAAGUCCCGGCUAACUUCGUGCCAGCAGCCGCGGUAAUACGAAGGGGACUAGCGUUGUUCGGAAUUACUGGGCGUAAAGCGCGCGUAGGCGGAUCGCUAAGUCAGGGGUGAAAUCCCAGGGCUCAACCCUGGAACUGCCUUUGAUACUGACGAUCUGGAGAUCGGGAGAGGUUGGUGGAAUUCCGAGUGUA
Molecule: ribosomal RNA, 598 nt
Filed under: uncultured soil bacterium
Lineage: Bacteria
Description: bacterial SSU rRNA
Rfam family: Bacterial small subunit ribosomal RNA
Source: RNAcentral